GGGGAGCGAACGCCAGUUAUUAGGGUCCUUAUAAUAAUUCACGCGCUCGGACAAACAACUAGAGAGAGAGAAGAAUGAUUCAAAUUCAAAUCGUGGGGGAGGGAACGCUUUUGGAGCUCUGAUGUUUGGAGAUCUCGGAACCCAGAUUCAAAUUCCAAAUUCAAAACUGGAGGCGCUAACCAUGCAGGACCACGGCGUUGGGGAUAGGGGAAAACCACGGCGUAAUUACACGAGCCAUUUUAUACCCGUGUAGACUGUAGUACUCGCUCUACUCUCUACUCUCUAGUAGUCUCCGCCAUACCUCGUCUCCUUGGACUCCGAUGACGACCCGCCGUGGUCGUGGUGCGUCUUCCUGCUCUUCUUCUUCGCGGCGGCAGCGGAUUUCGCGGGGAUCGUGUCGGCGUAGAGCUCCGACAGCAGGCGGUGCCUCUUCCUCGCCCGCCUGUCCAGCUCCGUGUACGCCGCCGCUGGAAUCUCCUCGACGACCCGCUCCUCUGCCUCGACGGAGAGGCCCUCGCAGCGCGAGCCCGCCGAACACCGCGAGGACUUGGUGGGCUCCGCCUUCGCCUCUCCGAGAACGCUGAGCUGCAGCAGCAGCUCCGCCGCCGCAAGCUCCGGCCCAGAGAAGAGACCCGCGAACCAGAUCCCCAACUCCAAGUCCAGGUCCGGCCCGCGGCCGACGGCGAGCGACGACAUGGCUGGCUGGCGCCGGCAGACCAGUUGCUUCGCGAGAGGAGGAGCGAAUCGGAAUUACUACUUUUUUUUGUUCUCGGGGAUGGGUGGGUGCGGAUGAG
Molecule: ribosomal RNA, 794 nt
Filed under: Triticum aestivum (bread wheat)
Lineage: Eukaryota; Viridiplantae; Streptophyta; Magnoliopsida; Poales; Poaceae
Description: partial small subunit ribosomal RNA
Source: RNAcentral